This 315-nucleotide ribosomal RNA is filed under the name uncultured eukaryote. RNAcentral describes it as "partial 18S ribosomal RNA". It matches the Rfam family "Eukaryotic small subunit ribosomal RNA", at positions 1470 to 1796 of the family's 1831-position model. The record is from RNAcentral.
CCCUUAGACGUUCUGGGCCGCACGCGCGCUACACUGACCAGUGCAACAAGCAUCCGUCCUUGGCCGACAGGCUCGGGCAAUCUUUGAACGCUGGUCGUGAUGGGGAUAGACUUUUGCAAUUUUUGGUCUUCAACGAGGAAUUCCUAGUAAACGCAAGUCAUCAACUUGCAUUGAUUACGUCCCUGCCCUUUGUACACACCGCCCGUCGCACCUACCGAUUGAAUGGUCCGGUGAAGCCUCCGGAUUGGCGCGCACCUCGGUGCCGCCGAGAAGUUGGCUAAACCUUACCAUUUAGAGGAAGGUGAAGUCGUAUCA